UCCGCAGGCUGCCUGUUAAGUCGGAUGUGAAAGCCCGGGGCUCAACUCCGGAAUUGCAUUCGAAACUGGCAGGCUCGAGUACGGGAGAGGGAAGCGGAAUUCCUGGUGUAGAGGUGAAAUUCGUAGAUAUCAGGAGGAACACCCGUGGCGAAAGCGGCUUCCUGGCCCGAUACUGACGCUCAUGGACGAAAGCGUGGGGAGCAAACA
This 207-nucleotide ribosomal RNA is filed under the name uncultured bacterium. RNAcentral describes it as "partial 16S ribosomal RNA". It matches the Rfam family "Bacterial small subunit ribosomal RNA", at positions 568 to 774 of the family's 1533-position model. The record is from RNAcentral.